CGGUGCUGUGGUGUCGUUGUUGCGGCGUUGUCCCGUUGGUGCUCCUCGUUCAACGUGCGCGCGUACGUUUUUCCGCGGUUUUUCGUUCAUUUUUAUUUUCCGUCAUUUCAAUCAUCCUCUCAGAUUCGGCAAACGAAUAAUGAUGUCGUAAUAUAACAAUAUAUGCAUUAUACAAACGGCAUUAUAUUCCCUCGAACUGCACUUUCAGCCGAUCAGCCGGUUCGCAAUAAAACGUAUUUAAAUAUUUCUCGCUUUUGGACGAGUGUACGCUGUCGCAGCCGAAGUGUUUUGGUUCUCGUUAUCAUAUUUGUGUCGUUGUCACGGGUUCUGCGCGUCCUCCACGUGGCGGCCGUUUAAGGACGUACAGGUGUUUAUUCAACUGCUCAAAGUGGAAUCAACCACAUACAAAAAAUAACUACGUAACAAUCGAUCAAACAUCAUGAAUCGGAGACGGAAAGUGACGGCUGGUGAAUUAUGAAUUGACUCCAGACUGUUGUGCCAACGAUGAAAGAUGGAGUCGUUAUGGAUCCCGUCGUUCUGGAAGAAGCUCAGCAGCUACUGUCACCGGCUUCUUGGACCAGAGGGGAUAUUUGUCCUAAGAAUACCAGGAAACGUUACAAUGUCACCAUACUGGAAUUGAACCCGGUCGUGAGUCGCGAUGACAUCGUCGUGGACCACUGCCGGAGGAGAGAGAGCAGUACUAGUA
This is a long non-coding RNA of Diuraphis noxia (Russian wheat aphid), 706 nucleotides long. The record is from RefSeq and is a predicted model, not a curated record. Lineage: Eukaryota; Metazoa; Arthropoda; Insecta; Hemiptera; Aphididae.